GAUGAAGAACGUAGCGAAAUGCGAUACGUAGUGUGAAUUGCAGAAUUCAGUGAAUCAUCGAAUCUUUGAACGCACAUUGCGCCCGCUAGUAUUCUGGCGGGCAUGCCUGUCCGAGCGUCAUUUCAACCCUCAAGCCCCCGGGCUUGGUGUUGGGGAUCGGCGAGCCUCCGCGCCCGCCGUCCCCUAAAUCUAGUGGCGGUCUCGCUGUAGCUUCCUCUGCGUAGUAGCACACCUCGCACUGGGAAACAGCGCGGCCACGCCGUUAAACCCCCAACUUCUGAACGUUUGACCUCGGAUCAGGUAGGAAUACCCGCUGAACUUAAGCAUAUCAAUAAGCGGAGGA
Molecule: unclassified non-coding RNA, 343 nt
Filed under: soil metagenome
Description: partial contains 5.8S ribosomal RNA, internal transcribed spacer 2, and large subunit ribosomal RNA
Rfam family: 5.8S ribosomal RNA (bases 1-120)
Source: RNAcentral